UACGUAGGACCCAAGCGUUAUCCGGAAUUACUGGGCGUAAAGAGUUGCGUAGGUUGCAUAGUAAGUUAAUAGUGAAAGCGUGUGGCUCAACCAUACAUCCAUUAUUAAAACUGCUAAGCUAGAGUAUGGGAGAGGUAGAUGGAAUUUCUAGUGUAGGAGUGAAAUCCGUAGAUAUUAGAAGGAACACCGAUGGCGUAGGCAGUCUACUGGCCCAUUACUGACACUAAGGCACGAAAGCGUGGGGAGCAAACGGG
RNAcentral lists this ribosomal RNA (254 nucleotides) under uncultured bacterium. RNAcentral's name for it is "partial 16S ribosomal RNA". It matches the Rfam family "Bacterial small subunit ribosomal RNA", at positions 524 to 776 of the family's 1533-position model. The record is from RNAcentral.